Molecule: small nucleolar RNA, 91 nt
Filed under: Ornithorhynchus anatinus (platypus)
Lineage: Eukaryota; Metazoa; Chordata; Mammalia; Monotremata; Ornithorhynchidae
Source: RNAcentral
GGGCCCUUGUGAUGUCUAGCACUGGGCUCUGAUUCCUUCUGAGGACUCUGUGCCCCCUGGGACUCUGACACCCAGGGAGUCUGAGGGGCCU